AAGUCGUAACAAGGUUUCCGUAGGUGAACCUGCGGAAGGAUCAUUACAGUAAAAACAAGGUCGUGUGCUGUUGCUGGCCCUCCGGGGCAUGUGCACGCCGCGUCCGCAUCCUUCUUACACCCCUGUGCACCUUUGCGUGGGGCACUGUUGGCUGUUGCCUUCGGUGCUCUGCGUCUUCUUAUACACACACCACGUAUGUCUUCAGAAUGUCUACUUGCGAUAAAAAGCAAAUUAAAUACAACUUUCAACAACGGAUCUCUUGGCUCUC
This 268-nucleotide unclassified non-coding RNA is filed under the name air metagenome. RNAcentral describes it as "partial contains small subunit ribosomal RNA, internal transcribed spacer 1, and 5.8S ribosomal RNA". The stretch from base 1 to 46 matches the Rfam family "Eukaryotic small subunit ribosomal RNA", at positions 1786 to 1831 of the family's 1831-position model. The record is from RNAcentral.